GGGGAAUCUUAGACAAUGGGGGAAACCCUGAUCUAGCCAUGCCGCGUGAGCGAUGAAGGCCUUAGGGUUGUAAAGCUCUUUCAGCUGGGAAGAUAAUGACGGUACCAGCAGAAGAAGCCCCGGCUAACUCCGUGCCAGCAGCCGCGGUAAUACGGAGGGGGCUAGCGUUGUUCGGAAUUACUGGGCGUAAAGCGCACGUAGGCGGACUGGAAAGUUGGGGGUGAAAUCCCGGGGCUCAACCCCGGAACUGCCUCCAAAACUAUCAGUCUAGAGGUCGAGAGAGGUGAGUGGAAUUCCGAGUGUAGAGGUGAAAUUCGUAGAUAUUCGGAGGAACACCAGUGGCGAAGGCGGCUCACUGGCUCGAUACUGACGCUGAGGUGCGAAAGCGUGGGGAGCAAAC
This 400-nucleotide ribosomal RNA is filed under the name uncultured bacterium. Its description in RNAcentral is "bacterial SSU rRNA". It matches the Rfam family "Bacterial small subunit ribosomal RNA", at positions 356 to 773 of the family's 1533-position model. The record is from RNAcentral.